ACGGGGUGCAGCAGGCGCGAACACUUUACAAUGCGGGAAACCGCGAUAAGGGAACCCCGAGUGCCAGCAUCAAAUGUUGGCUGUCCAGAUGAUUAAAAAUCAUUUGUUAGCAAGGGCCGAGCAAGACCGGUGCCAGCCGCCGCGGUAACACCGGCGGCCCGAGUGGUAGCCGUUUUUAUUGGGUCUAAAGGGUCCGUAGCCGGCCUGAUAAGUCCUUUGGGAAAUCUGGCAGCUUAACUGUCAGGCUUCUAAGGGAUACUGUCAGGCUUGGGACCGGAAGAGGUAAGGGGUACUCCAGGGGUAGGAGUGAAAUCUUGUAAUCCCUGGGGGACCAUCUGUGGCGAAGGCGCCUUACCAGAACGGGUCCGACGGUGAGGGACGAAAGCUAGGGGAGCAAACCGGAUUAGAUACCCGGGUAGUCCUAGCUGUAAACGAUGCUCGCUAGGUGUCAGACACGGUGCGACCGUGUUUGGUGCCGCAGGGAAGCCGUUAAGCGAGCCACCUGGAAGUACGUCGCAAGGC
Molecule: ribosomal RNA, 522 nt
Filed under: uncultured archaeon
Lineage: Archaea
Description: bacterial SSU rRNA
Rfam family: Archaeal small subunit ribosomal RNA
Source: RNAcentral